AUGAACUGCAGUCUCGGGGAUUGCCUGCUGGAUUGCACUGAUGAGCCUUGGUACGUCAAGGUGCUCGUGUUCCCCAUCAAGACGCUCCUCAACUACGCCGGCGGCUUGCUGAGCCUCUACAUCCUCUAUCUCAUCUACUUCCGCCCAUACGCUGUCCGGCCACACGUGGACGCCGCCGCCCUGGCCGCCUUUGACCUCGCCCCCGGGCCCGGCAACACUACUAUGCUCCGCUACGACCUCGCCCCCAACGUCACCUUCUUCAACGACCACCGGGUCUGGGCCAUCCGCUACAACCACUUCUCCGCCAGGCUCUACUUCAACGGCACCAAGCUCAGCCCACCGGACGACACAUUCCCAAAAUUCAAGAGCAGGUUGCGCCGGCACCGCACCAUGCACCCCGUGCUGCACGGCCGCGCCAGCAACAUCAGCGCCGCCAUGGCCGAAGAGUUCUCCUGGCAGCGGGCGCAGGGGUGGUUCACUGUUGAAGUCAGGCUCAGGGCCACCUUGACUUAUGCCCUAUUUCCCGUACACUACGUCUACUACUACGAGUUCUACUGCUGGCUACAUUUCCCUAGCAACGCCACCAUGCCAUCGGUCGUCAGCGAUGUCAAGUGCAGCAAGGGCAAAAAUUUCGGGCUCUCCUAA
Molecule: ribosomal RNA, 645 nt
Filed under: Triticum aestivum (bread wheat)
Lineage: Eukaryota; Viridiplantae; Streptophyta; Magnoliopsida; Poales; Poaceae
Description: partial small subunit ribosomal RNA
Source: RNAcentral